GAUGAACGCUGGCGGCGUGCCUAAUACAUGCAAGUCGAGCGAACGGACGAGAAGCUUGCUUCUCUGAUGUUAGCGGCGGACGGGUGAGUAACACGUGGAUAACCUACCUAUAAGACUGGGAUAACUUCGGGAAACCGGAGCUAAUACCGGAUAAUAUUUUGAACCGCAUGGUUCAAAAGUGAAAGACGGUCUUGCUGUCACUUAUAGAUGGAUCCGCGCUGCAUUAGCUAGUUGGUAAGGUAACGGCUUACCAAGGCAACGAUGCAUAGCCGACCUGAGAGGGUGAUCGGCCACACUGGAACUGAGACACGGUCCAGACUCCUACGGGAGGCAGCAGUAGGGAAUCUUCCGCAAUGGGCGAAAGCCUGACGGAGCAACGCCGCGUGAGUGAUGAAGGUCUUCGGAUCGUAAAACUCUGUUAUUAGGGAAGAACAUAUGUGUAAGUAACUGUGAACAUCUUGACGGUACCUAAUAAGAAAGCCACGGCUAACUACGU
Molecule: ribosomal RNA, 496 nt
Filed under: uncultured bacterium
Lineage: Bacteria
Description: partial 16S ribosomal RNA
Rfam family: Bacterial small subunit ribosomal RNA
Source: RNAcentral